This 2921-nucleotide ribosomal RNA is filed under the name Staphylococcus aureus. Its description in RNAcentral is "bacterial LSU rRNA". It matches the Rfam family "Bacterial large subunit ribosomal RNA". The record is from RNAcentral. Lineage: Bacteria; Bacillati; Bacillota; Bacilli; Caryophanales; Staphylococcaceae.
UUAAGUUAUUAAGGGCGCACGGUGGAUGCCUUGGCACUAGAAGCCGAUGAAGGACGUUACUAACGACGAUAUGCUUUGGGGAGCUGUAAGUAAGCUUUGAUCCAGAGAUUUCCGAAUGGGGAAACCCAGCAUGAGUUAUGUCAUGUUAUCGAUAUGUGAAUACAUAGCAUAUCAGAAGGCACACCCGGAGAACUGAAACAUCUUAGUACCCGGAGGAAGAGAAAGAAAAUUCGAUUCCCUUAGUAGCGGCGAGCGAAACGGGAAGAGCCCAAACCAACAAGCUUGCUUGUUGGGGUUGUAGGACACUCUAUACGGAGUUACAAAGGACGACAUUAGACGAAUCAUCUGGAAAGAUGAAUCAAAGAAGGUAAUAAUCCUGUAGUCGAAAAUGUUGUCUCUCUUGAGUGGAUCCUGAGUACGACGGAGCACGUGAAAUUCCGUCGGAAUCUGGGAGGACCAUCUCCUAAGGCUAAAUACUCUCUAGUGACCGAUAGUGAACCAGUACCGUGAGGGAAAGGUGAAAAGCACCCCGGAAGGGGAGUGAAAUAGAACCUGAAACCGUGUGCUUACAAGUAGUCAGAGCCCGUUAAUGGGUGAUGGCGUGCCUUUUGUAGAAUGAACCGGCGAGUUACGAUUUGAUGCAAGGUUAAGCAGUAAAUGUGGAGCCGUAGCGAAAGCGAGUCUGAAUAGGGCGUUUAGUAUUUGGUCGUAGACCCGAAACCAGGUGAUCUACCCUUGGUCAGGUUGAAGUUCAGGUAACACUGAAUGGAGGACCGAACCGACUUACGUUGAAAAGUGAGCGGAUGAACUGAGGGUAGCGGAGAAAUUCCAAUCGAACCUGGAGAUAGCUGGUUCUCUCCGAAAUAGCUUUAGGGCUAGCCUCAAGUGAUGAUUAUUGGAGGUAGAGCACUGUUUGGACGAGGGGCCCCUCUCGGGUUACCGAAUUCAGACAAACUCCGAAUGCCAAUUAAUUUAACUUGGGAGUCAGAACAUGGGUGAUAAGGUCCGUGUUCGAAAGGGAAACAGCCCAGACCACCAGCUAAGGUCCCAAAAUAUAUGUUAAGUGGAAAAGGAUGUGGCGUUGCCCAGACAACUAGGAUGUUGGCUUAGAAGCAGCCAUCAUUUAAAGAGUGCGUAAUAGCUCACUAGUCGAGUGACACUGCGCCGAAAAUGUACCGGGGCUAAACAUAUUACCGAAGCUGUGGAUUGUCCUUUGGACAAUGGUAGGAGAGCGUUCUAAGGGCGUUGAAGCAUGAUCGUAAGGACAUGUGGAGCGCUUAGAAGUGAGAAUGCCGGUGUGAGUAGCGAAAGACGGGUGAGAAUCCCGUCCACCGAUUGACUAAGGUUUCCAGAGGAAGGCUCGUCCGCUCUGGGUUAGUCGGGUCCUAAGCUGAGGCCGACAGGCGUAGGCGAUGGAUAACAGGUUGAUAUUCCUGUACCACCUAUAAUCGUUUUAAUCGAUGGGGGGACGCAGUAGGAUAGGCGAAGCGUGCGAUUGGAUUGCACGUCUAAGCAGUAAGGCUGAGUAUUAGGCAAAUCCGGUACUCAUUAAGGCUGAGCUGUGAUGGGGAGAAGACAUUGUGUCUUCGAGUCGUUGAUUUCACACUGCCGAGAAAAGCCUCUAGAUAGAAAAUAGGUGCCCGUACCGCAAACCGACACAGGUAGUCAAGAUGAGAAUUCUAAGGUGAGCGAGCGAACUCUCGUUAAGGAACUCGGCAAAAUGACCCCGUAACUUCGGGAGAAGGGGUGCUCUUUAGGGUUAACGCCCAGAAGAGCCGCAGUGAAUAGGCCCAAGCGACUGUUUAUCAAAAACACAGGUCUCUGCUAAACCGUAAGGUGAUGUAUAGGGGCUGACGCCUGCCCGGUGCUGGAAGGUUAAGAGGAGUGGUUAGCUUCUGCGAAGCUACGAAUCGAAGCCCCAGUAAACGGCGGCCGUAACUAUAACGGUCCUAAGGUAGCGAAAUUCCUUGUCGGGUAAGUUCCGACCCGCACGAAAGGCGUAACGAUUUGGGCACUGUCUCAACGAGAGACUCGGUGAAAUCAUAGUACCUGUGAAGAUGCAGGUUACCCGCGACAGGACGGAAAGACCCCGUGGAGCUUUACUGUAGCCUGAUAUUGAAAUUCGGCACAGCUUGUACAGGAUAGGUAGGAGCCUUUGAAACGUGAGCGCUAGCUUACGUGGAGGCGCUGGUGGGAUACUACCCUAGCUGUGUUGGCUUUCUAAUCCGCACCACUUAUCGUGGUGGGAGACAGUGUCAGGCGGGCAGUUUGACUGGGGCGGUCGCCUCCUAAAAGGUAACGGAGGCGCUCAAAGGUUCCCUCAGAAUGGUUGGAAAUCAUUCAUAGAGUGUAAAGGCAUAAGGGAGCUUGACUGCGAGACCUACAAGUCGAGCAGGGUCGAAAGACGGACUUAGUGAUCCGGUGGUUCCGCAUGGAAGGGCCAUCGCUCAACGGAUAAAAGCUACCCCGGGGAUAACAGGCUUAUCUCCCCCAAGAGUUCACAUCGACGGGGAGGUUUGGCACCUCGAUGUCGGCUCAUCGCAUCCUGGGGCUGUAGUCGGUCCCAAGGGUUGGGCUGUUCGCCCAUUAAAGCGGUACGCGAGCUGGGUUCAGAACGUCGUGAGACAGUUCGGUCCCUAUCCGUCGUGGGCGUAGGAAAUUUGAGAGGAGCUGUCCUUAGUACGAGAGGACCGGGAUGGACAUACCUCUGGUGUACCAGUUGUCGUGCCAACGGCAUAGCUGGGUAGCUAUGUGUGGACGGGAUAAGUGCUGAAAGCAUCUAAGCAUGAAGCCCCCCUCAAGAUGAGAUUUCCCAACUUCGGUUAUAAGAUCCCUCAAAGAUGAUGAGGUUAAUAGGUUCGAGGUGGAAGCAUGGUGACAUGUGGAGCUGACGAAUACUAAUCGAUCGAAGACUUAAUCAA